RNAcentral lists this transfer RNA (71 nucleotides) under Marmota monax (woodchuck). Its description in RNAcentral is "tRNA.Ala". Lineage: Eukaryota; Metazoa; Chordata; Mammalia; Rodentia; Sciuridae. The record is from RNAcentral.
GGGGUUGUGGCUCCGUGGUGGAGCGCUCGCCUGGCACAUGUGAGGCACUGGGUUCGAUCCUCAGCACCACA